This 290-nucleotide long non-coding RNA is filed under the name Elaeis guineensis (African oil palm). RNAcentral describes it as "long non-coding RNA (EGUI_LNC014537)". Lineage: Eukaryota; Viridiplantae; Streptophyta; Magnoliopsida; Arecales; Arecaceae. The record is from RNAcentral.
UGGGCAUCCAUGGAGAACUUGAUCUUCUUGUUCUCGUACUUCAUUGACAUCUGAAAGUCGGCAACAGUCCUUGAGGUGGCCUUUGCUGCCUUGGCUACAGCUUUACUCUUCUCGAAUUGGGCUUCAAGCUCCCUUAUUCUCCAUUGCAAUCGAGAGUUCUCUUUGACAGCUCCUCUUAGAGCCAUUUCGGCAUCUUUAGCCCUCCUUUCAGUGGCAUUGGCCCUCAUGGAGGCCUCUCUAGCCUCCCUUACAGCCUUGUGUUUGGUGCCCUUAAGCAUCUCGACAUCGGC